ACUAUAUAUUGUCAUGCAUGAACGGUAUUCCGAUUAGUUUGUUUUGAAUUUGAAAUAAUUCUAUAUUAUCAUGUCUCGUGUCACGACAUUUCUUUUUGUCCUCGCAAUUUGCGUAGCAAUUGUCAUCUGCUCACCCACUUGUGGUCCAAAUCAGAUUAGUGUCAAAUGUAAAAACACCUGUCCUGUAACUUGUGCAACUUACCCCAAUCGCACAAAACUCUGUCCUCGUGUAAAUAAAUUUUUAUUUUAAUUCAAUUAUAAAUGUUUUUCAUGCGAAUUUAAUUAUUUUUUGUUAUUUAAUUUAUUCGAUUAUUUUUAAUUGUAGAUUUGCAUAGCAGGAUGUGAUUGCGUGGAAGGAUAUGUAUUAGACACUGUUAAUAAUAAGUGCGUCUUACCCGAUUGUUGUUAA
This 409-nucleotide long non-coding RNA is filed under the name Polistes fuscatus (common paper wasp). RNAcentral's name for it is "uncharacterized LOC122522864". The record is from RNAcentral. Lineage: Eukaryota; Metazoa; Arthropoda; Insecta; Hymenoptera; Vespidae.